GUUUGAUCCUGGCUCAGGGUUAACGCUGGCGGCGUGCCUAACACAUGCAAGUCGAACGGUUCUAAGCGCGAGCUUAGGAUAGUGGCGAACGGGUGAGUAAAAGGUAGGAAUCUACCCUUGGACGGAGAUAGCUACUGGAAACGGUAGGUAAACUUCGAUAAGCCGAGAGGGGGGGAAAGUGGUGAGACAGCCGAGGGAUGAGCCUACUCUCCAUCAGGUAGUUGGUGAGAUAAAAGCUUACCAAGCCGAUGACGGAUAACCGGUGUGAGAGCAUGAACGGUCACAAGGGCACUGAGAGACGGGCCCUACUCCUACGGGAGGCAGCAGUGGGGGGGAAUCUUGGACAAUGGGCGAAAGCCUGAUCCAGCGACGCCGCGUGGAGGAAGAAGUCCUUCGGGAUGUAAACUUCUGAACUAGCCGAAUAAAAGGCCUGUGGACACACAGGAGAAGAAAGUAGGCUAGGAAAAGUCCCGGCUAACUACGUGCCAGCAGCCGCGGUAAGACGUAGGGGGCAAGCGUUACCCGGAAUUACUGGGCGUAAAGGGGGGGCGUAGGCGGUAAAAGAAGUCAUCUGUGAAAACCUAUUGCUCAACGAUAGGCUAGCGGAUGAAACUGAAUUACUUGAGGGCACCAGAGGUAGACGGAAUUACCCGAGUAGGGGGGGUGAAAUCCGCAGAUACGGGUAGGAACGCCGGUGGAGAAGUCGGUCUACUGGGGGGGUGCACCAGACGCUGAGGCCCGAAAGCUAGGGGGGGAGCAAACCGGAUUAGAUACCCGGGUAGUCCUAGCCGUAAACGAUGCUCACUAGGUGUAGGGAGUGAUAAACUCUCUGUGCUGAAGCGAACGCGCUAAGUGAGCCGCCUGGGGGGGAGUACGUCCGCAAGGAUGAAACUCAAAGGAAUUGACGGGGGGGUCCGCACAAGCGGUGGAGCAUGUGGUUUAAUUCGAUGGUAACCGAAGAACCUUACCAGGGAUUGACAUGUAACUGAAGGUAGAGAAAUCUACUGGCCUGCUGCAAAGCGGGAGGUUACACAGGUGGUGCACGGCCGUCGUCAGCUCGUGCCGUGAGGUGUUGGGUUAAGUCCCGCAACGAGCGCAACCCCUACGAUUAGUUACUAACGCGGAAAGGCGAGGACUCUAAUCGGACUGCCGCCGACGAGGCGGAGGAAGGAGGGGGGGAUGACGUCAGGUAAGCGUGCCCCUUAUACUCUGGGCGACACACGUGCUACAAUGGAGGGGGGACAAAGGGAAGCGAAGCCGAGAGGUGGAGCGGAUCCUAAAAAAAACUCUCCGAAAUACGGAUUGUAGGCUGCAACCCGCCUACAUGAAGUCGGAAUCGCUAGUAAUCGCAGGUCAGCCAAACUGCGGUGAAUACGUUCCCGGGCCUUGUACACACCGCCCGUCACGCCACCCGAGUUGGGAACACCUGAAGGCAGUACGGGAGGUACUGUUGAAGGUGGGCUUGGCGAGGGGGGGCGAAGUCGUAACAAGGUAGGUGUACCGGAAGGUGCGCCUGGAUCACCUCCUU
This 1528-nucleotide ribosomal RNA is filed under the name uncultured organism. RNAcentral describes it as "partial 16S ribosomal RNA". It matches the Rfam family "Bacterial small subunit ribosomal RNA". The record is from RNAcentral.